GACUUCUCUUUCCCGACGACCGCGAACGCGGAGCCCUGUCUCCGAGCCCAGAGCCCAGUCCGCGGGGGUUACGCAUUGUUCCAGUCUGUGACCCGGGCCGCUGGUUGGCCUCCGCUUUUUGCGCCGGGAGUGAGCUCGGCCGAGGGCCUGGACCGGGUCCUGGUUUUCCCGGGUCCUCUCAACAACGGUUCCCGGAUCUCCCGGGUUUCCAUUCUCGAGUCUCCGCACCCCUUGAUCUCCUUACCCCUCGGGCUCCUGCACCCCUCGGGCCCCGGCCUUGCCGAUGCCCUGCCAGCGGCGGGGAGCUCGCCACCCUGCCCUCCUCGGCUCCCACUCCGCUGGUGAAAAUCACAUUUUGAAGAUAGUAAUUAUCUACAAUCGUUAAAACGGCAGCAAUUAGAGACUUCAUCUACUUCCUGAGUUUCCGUGUGACAUUUUCUAUUGUUUACCCUUAAUAAACCAGGAGGGAGGCUUCGCAGGAUUAAAGCAGGGUACAAUGGUGCUUUACCUAAUGGUGACAGGGGCAGGAGGAAAAGCAGAUUUGCCCUCUAUAAGCGGACCUACGCCAGUGGUGUCAAACCCAGCACAAUCCACAUGGUCUCCACACCACAGGCGUCCAAGGCCAUCAGCUCCAGAGGACAUCACAGCAUAUCGUACACGUUGUCACGGAGCCAGACGGUAGUGGUGGAGUACACACACGAUAAAGACACAGACAUGUUUCAGGUGGGCAGGUCAACAGAAAGCCCCAUUGACUUCGUGGUCACAGACACGGUUUCCGGCGGUCAGAACGAAGAUGCCCAGAUCACACAGAGCACCAUCUCUAGGUUCGCAUGCAGGAUCGUGUGUGACAGGAACGAGCCAUACACAGCACGCAUAUUCGCGGCAGGAUUCGAUUCUUCCAAAAAUAUCUUUCUUGGAGAGAAAGCAGCAAAAUGGAAAAACCCUGAUGGACACAUGGAUGGACUCACUACCAACGGUGUCCUGGUGAUGCACCCGCAAGGAGGCUUCACCGAGGAAUCCCAGCCUGGAGUCUGGAGAGAGAUCUCUGUCUGUGGGGAUGUAUACACCUUGCGAGAGACCAGGUCGGCCCAGCAGAGGGGAAAGCUGGUGGAAAGUGAGACCAACGUCCUGCAAGACGGCUCCCUCAUUGACCUGUGUGGGGCCACUCUCCUCUGGAGAACCGCAGAUGGCCUUUUUCACGCUCCUACUCAGAAGCACAUAGAAGCCCUCCGGCAGGAGAUCAAUGCAGCCCGACCCCAGUGCCCCGUGGGCCUUAACACCCUGGCCUUCCCCAGCAUCAACCGGAAGGAAGUGGUGGAAGAGAAGCAGCCCUGGGCAUACCUGAGCUGCGGCCAUGUGCACGGCUACCACAGCUGGGGCCAUCGGAGCGACACGGAAGCCAACGAGAGGGAGUGUCCCAUGUGCAGGACUGUGGGCCCCUACGUCCCUCUCUGGCUGGGCUGUGAGGCAGGAUUUUAUGUCGAUGCGGGACCCCCAACUCACGCUUUCACCCCCUGCGGGCACGUCUGUUCAGAGAAGUCUGCCAAGUACUGGUCGCAGAUCCCACUGCCCCACGGAACGCACGCGUUUCACGCCGCCUGUCCGUUCUGCGCCACGCAGCUGGUUGGUGAACAGAACUGCAUCAAAUUGAUUUUCCAAGGUCCAGUGGACUGACACCCUGGACGGCCAUCUCCACGGCAUUAACACGUUACUGUGAAGAUUCCGCCACUAACUGUAGAUUCUACCUUUUUGUAAUGCUGUUUGUUAAGGGGAAGGCGGACUGGGUUGGGAAAUGGGGGCUGGUGACGAAAUGUGGCAGGCGCUGACAGAUACCACUGUGUUUUGCAUGCUCAGAACAGCAGCAUCAGCAUCGUCACUGAGGUCUGCCUGAUUAAACUUUAAUACCUGUGUAAUAAUUGGAUCUCAACUGCCAUGCUUUUCUUUUUAACUUUAGGUUUUUAACCAGAUUUUUUCCCCCUUUGUAAACUUGGGUAAGAUUUUACAAAUGUAGAAGAAAUGUACUCAGCAAAUGUCUCUUAGAGCACAGCCUGCAGAGCCAUGUGGCACAAGUGCCACACAUCCUAUGAUGUUCAGUGGCUGUGAAUACUUGACAGUGGCUAGAAUCUGACCCAAUACCUAAGGGCCACCUCUGUCAGCCCUGCCACAAACACCCGUGGACAGGAGGCGUAGGCCAUGCACUUGUCUUGAAAUCUGCAGCUUUUUCUCACCUUUUCUUUUUAACUUUGGGUGGAAGAGGGUAUUCGUAUACUGUUUUGUUUUACUUUUAGUGGAAUUCACUUACAUACUCAUUCAUCAGAUACUUGGCAUGUCAAACAAAGAAUUUCCCCAUGGUUUUAAUCUGCCCUGUUAUGGGCUGCUCCUCAUCUUACGUGUCAAGAAGUGACUGGUUGGUUGAUUGGUUGGUUGAUUGAUUGAUUGAUGAUUGAAUUCAUGAGCUGAGGGGAAUGGCCUUGCACUACGGGGGCUGGUGCUGCUGCAGUUGGCAGCAGUGGGCUGUCCUAGGUACUCUUGACACCAGCUUUGUCUGGACACCAGAACACUUACGACCCAAGUGGGAUUUAAAGUACGCUUUUACUUUUUAAAAUCCACUUGUUGGCACUUCACAGAACGGUUUCCUUCUCUUCUCCUUCUUAGGAAAGACAAAAUUUUGUAAGCCCAGAAGCAACAAGCGACAGUGAGAUUGCCAUUUCUGUCCCCUACCUUCCCACCAUCUGUCACCUUCCCUUCCAGUUUAAGGAGCCCCAUAAGUUGUUUGUUUUUAUUUUUUUCAAUGUUUGCAAAUCAGACUAAACCUAAAUGUGCUGAUGAGAUACACGGAGCACUGAGCGGCGUGUCUGCCGAAAUCAUUUGAAAUUCCUGAUUUUGAGAGACCAAGUGAGUGUUUACUGAGGAAUAAUUAAAUCAGGAUUUCAUUGAGCUGCAAUGACCCUCUCUUUCAGUUUCAUCUUGCAUUGAUUAAUGAUGCCUGAAUACUCGUUUUCCAUGCUUGGUGCCAGGAGUAUCUGUGGCUCCCAGAGUGUCAGCAUGGAGAGACACUGCUGAGCUUGGCUGUGUUCCACCCCAUUCCCAAGGAGGAAGUCUCCAGUAAAAUCAGCGUCCGCUCAGGUGGACCGUCAGCAGCUUUGAGCUGCCUGUUUUAGCGUUUGUAAAUAUAGAUAAUUUAUAUGAUUAUGACAUAUCCAUACUUGAAUUGGUUUUUCCAUAUCUUGCCCAUUAGCAGAUACUAUUUUGCCUAUUUUCACAAAUUAAACCUAUGUGACUACUUUUUUCCUGAAAGCAAAACGGUAAUAUUAAUUGCUCUGUAGCGCUGCUGCUCAGUUUGAUUCAGUGUGCUGUCAUUUUAAAAGGAGCUUUAUUUUCCCAUGGAGACUGUUCUGUAGUAAGAGAGGUUUGGUUUUUUGUUUUGUUUUGUUUUGUUUUAAUUAUAUUUAUGAUGUGAAAAUCCAACAGCAGUCUUUUUACUGAUAUUUCCCUGUGUUCUACAUAGAUUACCUGCAGACAAAAAAGAAAAAGAAAUAAAGGCAGGCAGACAGAGAGAGAGAGAGAGAGAGAGAGAGAACUUUCUAGAGAAACCUAUAGGGUGUCAUCUGGUGCAGCCAAAAUUUCCAUCCCUGUUUUUCAGAGGAGGGUAAAGGAUACACUCACCCCACCCCACCCCCGCCUCCUUAUAUGGAGAUAGAUAGUCUGAGGAUUCUUGAUGUCCUGGGAUUGUCUUCUAAGAUAAAGGGUCUUACACCCAGAAAGAUUAAAUUUCACCUAUCCAAAAAAAGUUUUGUUUUUCAAGGAAGUUCACGCUGACACCAGACUUCUCUGUGUAGAUCUGCGUAGAGCAUACACUCCCAAAUAAGGCAAGCACCCCCGCCAGUCAGAGGUCAUAACCUUACAAACUCAGCUCAAGUGCAGGUGGAAACUCAUAAACCACAGGCCUUCAGUGGCGGUCAAGCCACCUGUCGCUUUGCCUUCAGUUUCCAGGUGAAGUCCUGUUCCCCCUCACCCCAGCCCCCUGCCAGAGGAAGAAAGAGGUGUCAACCUGCAACGGCAGCCAAGCUGACUUGGACAAUUUCUGUAAAGUCACUUUCUCCCGAGGAAAGGUUUUCAAGUUAGAUAACAGGUAUGGUUUUGAGACGUUGUUGUUCAUCCAAGUAGAAUGAUACAGUUGAGAGAGAAGGAAGCUUCUUCAAGGUCAACUCUGUGUGUUCAGCUUUGGUGGCCGUCACACAAAAGAGGAAGCCCACCCCACCCCUACCCCCACCUGUACAUAGGGAAAUCACCAGCCACUCAGUCUGGUCUCAGCCUGACCAGUCGCCUUUUCCACUAGGUUUCCAGAAGUCAAGCCCUAGUGACAUGCCUCCAUAGGUGAUAUUUUUUUCAGUUGUUUGUGUCAUUUUCUUACACACACACACACACAAAAAUCAGAGUGAAUGGGAUAUAGCUCUGAGUAUUUUUCUAAUGUUUUUUAUUAUUAAUAAUAAUAAACGGUGCUGCUGGGUCAUGCACACUGCGUGCACACUGCGGCUCUCAACAUUUCUUCAAUUUCUUUCAGCUUUUGCAAAAAGGGCUACAGUUCACACUGCAGAACAAGAACUAAGCUUUCUAGGUCUUCUCCCCCCCCCAUCCCCGUCCCCCGUACUUUUGUGGCCCGAAAGAAUUAAAAUCAUUUAAUAUAAAUAGCAUAUUUAUAUCAUUCCUCAAUAGUUAAUUAUAGGGUUUGGUACCUUUGUGCCUCAGGGAAGCCACAUGAUCUAACUGGUUAUAGACUUUCAGGGUUAGGGCAUAGAGAAAGGAGAAAGCCAUUGGAAACAUGAUGGACUCCAUUAAGGAGACGAGCUAAUCUAGGUGCAGAAGAAUGCCAGGACUAGCAUAAAUGUGAUUGUAGUAGAACUUGUUUCCCAGUGCUAGUAGGGAAAUCGUUUUAAGUUAUUACAUAUACCGUAUUCGGAGAGUCGAGAACUCUCCUAAAGCAGCAAGGCCCCCUGCAUGUGUACUAAGAGUUGUUCCAUGAUCUCACUCCUGCUUUCCUUCUUCAAAACAGUUCUUUUCUUGAGGUGGGCACCAGAGGCGGGCAGUCAUGGCACUCUCGGUCCUGACGUUAUGCAGCCUUGCCACUCACGGUGGGAAUUCAGACAGACAAGCCCCAGGCCCUUGAUUUCACCAGAUGUGAUUCUGUUCUGGGAGCUGCCAAUCCCCUGAUCCCAGAGCUCUGCCUUUGGGCUGAAGGUCUGACGCUCCUGUGGUGGUGAGCAUAGGUCAUAGCUCCAGCUGUUGCUUGAUAGCCCAAGGCCAAUGAGAUCACUUCAGGACAUUUGUAAAGCAAGCUAAACAUUUCGGAAGGAGUAAAAACGGAAGAGUUCUGUCAUUACUUUUCAGUAACAGGUCCUCAAAAAUACCUGCCCUCACGACUCCCUAGUGGGCAGUAGGGGAAAACGAAUAUAUUUUCCAGGUUGCUUAACUUUCUAAACAAAAAUGAACAAUGCUGAAAAGGAUGCUCUGCCUUUUAAGAUGAGAUCACAGAUUGCUUCUCUGUGUUAAAUAAUCUAGAAGUCAGGGGGCUGGUCGGAUUUACCAUGUAUAGUGUUAUGAGCAGUUAAAUUUUAUGGCUAUAUUUGUAAAAUCUGUUCUUUUAUAUUUCGUGUCAAAUUGAAAACUUUAUUUCUUCACUGUUGUACCUGUGGAAAUACAAGCCAUUUUACAGGGAAAAAAAAUCUUCAAAAGCUAUUAAACAAAUCUCACCAUGUUUGUAAGUUGUCUUUAGACUCUUCUUAUCUGUCACUGGCUUUACGGGGACGCUCGGUAGGACAUGGAUGCAAACCUAGACUUUAUUUAUACAUUUCUGCAGCUUCCACAUGAAUCCCUAACAGACAGGAUUAUUGUUUCGUUAUCCUCUGCACACUGCAUCUUUGAUCUGAGUUCUGAAAUCGCCCAAAUUUUUUAUUAAAGAAACUUCAUUUUAUUAAGGAAA
This is an RNA transcript of Mus musculus (house mouse), 5980 nucleotides long. It is a transcript of the gene named pellino 2, with no coding region annotated. The transcript has 6 exons. NCBI's taxonomy places the organism in Eukaryota, Metazoa, Chordata, Mammalia, Rodentia, Muridae. The record is from RefSeq and is marked validated.